UACGAAGGGGGCUAGCGUUGCUCGGAAUUACUGGGCGUAAAGCGUUUGUAGGCGGUUAAGUAAGUCAGAUGUGAAAGCCUGGGGCUCAACCUCAGAAUUGCAUUUGAAACUACUUAGCUAGAGUAUGUUAGAGGAAAGUGGAAUUCCUAGUGUAGGAGUGAAAUCCGUAGAGAUUAGGAGGAAUAUCGAUGGCGAAGGCAGCUUUCUGGGACAUUACUGACGCUGAGAAACGAAAGCGUGGGUAGCAAACAGG
RNAcentral lists this ribosomal RNA (253 nucleotides) under uncultured bacterium. Its description in RNAcentral is "partial 16S ribosomal RNA". It matches the Rfam family "Bacterial small subunit ribosomal RNA", at positions 524 to 776 of the family's 1533-position model. The record is from RNAcentral.